AAAGUUGUUGCAGUUAAAAAGCUCGUAGUUGAAUUUCAAGGGUUUUUUUCGUAGCUAGCCAUUGUUCCCUUUGCGGUCAAUGUGCAUUUGGCUACAGGCCCUUUUUUUCUGCUAGGAGAUGCGGCUCUUCUGCUUGUCAGCGGGGCUGCAGUUUUCCUAGCACUUUUACUUUGAAAAAAUUAGAGUGUUCAAAGCAGGCUUUUUCUUUGCCUGAAUAUCUUAGCAUGGAAUAAUAGAAUAGGACUUUGGUUCUAUUUUGUUGGUUUCUAGGACUAGAGUAAUGAUUAAUAGGGAUAGUUGGGGGCAUUAGUAUUUAAUUGUCAGAGGUGAAAUUCUUGGAUUUAGGAAAGACUAACUUCUGCGAAAGCAUUUGCCAAGGAUGUUUUCAUUAAUCAAGAACGAAAGUUAAGGGAUCGAAGAUGAUUAGAUACCAUCGUANNNNNNNNNNNNNNNN
This 454-nucleotide non-coding RNA is filed under the name Allomyces macrogynus ATCC 38327. RNAcentral describes it as "Eukaryotic small subunit ribosomal RNA". It matches the Rfam family "Eukaryotic small subunit ribosomal RNA", at positions 606 to 1038 of the family's 1831-position model. Lineage: Eukaryota; Fungi; Blastocladiomycota; Blastocladiomycetes; Blastocladiales; Blastocladiaceae. The record is from Rfam by way of RNAcentral.